AAUGAGUCAGGGCUUUGGCAGUGUGCCAUGAGCUGAUCACACUCACUCACGUGAGAGCGACCUGCAUUCCAUUGCAUGUCUACAGACAAAGGAAUUCUCCAGUUGAAACAUUAUUGAAGAUUUAUGAUAAAAACAUCCUAAAGAUUGAUUCUAUACUUCGUUUGACAUGUUUCUUCAAACUGUAAAAUCACCGGAUGUUUUGGAAGCAAAACUGAACGUAACGUGCCAAUGUAAACUGAGAUUUUUGGAUAUAAAUAUGAACCUUAUCGAACAAAACAUACAUGUAUUGUGUAACAUGAAGUCCUAUGAGUGUCAUCUGAUGAAGAUCAUCAAAGCAAGCACAUCAGUUGAAAACGAAAAACCUGAGUAGCUGGUGUGUGCGGUCACCAAAAUGCCGGAGGAUUUAAAGAGAGAGGACUUUGUUGAUCUAAGCUUUGGUGUUCAGGUGGCCAAGGAGAAGUUCCUGAUCAACAACAAAAAACAAGACCUGAUUGAGGUGCUCUUCACCAGGGAGGAGAUGGUGUUGUUCUCCGUGUCGGGCAGGAAAUCAAACAUCGUUCAAGAUUCUGUGACAAAGCCAGCUUUGUCAAGCAACAAAGUGCUCGCUCUUGUUGGGGGCAGCAGUGAGCUGAAGAGUUUCUUCUCGAGAGGCUCUGCUGAAUUGAAGAGUGAAAUGAGGAGACACAGAGAGCUUGCAUCCAAAGCAGAGUCCUGUCUCAGAGUGGAUGAUGCUGGCCAGAGUUGUUUGCAAGGUAUUGUCUGGCAGCUCCUCUGAUUUGAUGAAAUCCAUAAUGGCCUUAUAAAAGUUACCGAGGGCAACUGGAAUAGCUACUCUCUCCUCUUCCUCGGAGAUGGCCGGUUGAUGAAUAUAGAACCCAAGCUGUCAGUUGUGAGGCGGAGAGACGUCUCGGAGGUUGCCUGUCAGUCAUUGGGGGAACGUGUCAGAAAGUGAAAAGGCAGCGUUAAGACGUCAGACACAUUUACAUUGAGCCCUGUCUGCUGGAGAAAGCCUCUCCCUCACCAGUGACCAAUGUUGAUUCUACAAUAACGGCCGCGACGCAGCGCUGCAAAAAUCUUUUUCUUUCAGCGAGCGAACCCCCUCGUCCUAUUAGACCUGAUGCUGUGUGAAAUCCACCCUCACCAUUUCCUCUAGCUACCUGGAAAAGUAAAGAAACAUGAAUAUGGGCUCCGAGGAGAGGCUACAAUAUUCACGUACGUGUACACACACUCAGGCACACACUUCAGUCUCCGGCUCUUUAUUUGUCUGUGCCUGGGAAGGCCGAGGCCUCUUGCAGCCCAAGCGACCUAAGCAACAGCUGGUGUGCACAGACACAUUUCCUAUUUCUGCCCAAGGUGGAUCAUAUAACUCUCACUUUAUCACCCUUGGAGGCCAUGUGAAGGACAAAAUGAGCACGCCCAUAAACAAAACUAAUGUUUUCAUACUGGCCCUCUGGAGGUGGUAGAAGGGGC
Molecule: long non-coding RNA, 1470 nt
Organism: Oncorhynchus tshawytscha (Chinook salmon)
Lineage: Eukaryota; Metazoa; Chordata; Actinopteri; Salmoniformes; Salmonidae
Source: Ensembl